GGCCAGACUCCUACGGGAGGCAGCAGUGGGGAAUAUUGCACAAUGGGGGGAACCCUGAUGCAGCGACGCCGCGUGGGUGAAGGAGUAUUUCGGUAUGUAAAGCCCUAUCAGCAGGGAAGAACAAUGACGGUACCUGACUAAGAAGCACCGGCUAAAUACGUGCCAGCAGCCGCGGUAAUACGUAGGGGGCAAGCGUUAUCCGGAUUUACUGGGUGUAAAGGGAGCGUAGGCGGCGAUGCAAGCCAGAUGUGAAAGCCCGGGGCUCAACCCCGGGACUGCAUUUGGAACUGUGUGGCUGGAGUGUCGGAGAGGCAGGCGGAAUUCCUAGUGUAGCGGUGAAAUGCGUAGAUAUUAGGAGGAACACCAGUGGCGAAGGCGGCCUGCUGGACGAUGACUGACGUUGAGGCUCGAAAGCGUGGGGAGCAAACAGGAUUAGAUACCCGAGUAA
Molecule: ribosomal RNA, 448 nt
Filed under: uncultured bacterium
Lineage: Bacteria
Description: bacterial SSU rRNA
Rfam family: Bacterial small subunit ribosomal RNA
Source: RNAcentral